Long non-coding RNA from Eucalyptus grandis, 621 nucleotides. RefSeq lists it as uncharacterized. The record is from RefSeq and is a predicted model, not a curated record. The transcript is spliced from 2 exons. Lineage: Eukaryota; Viridiplantae; Streptophyta; Magnoliopsida; Myrtales; Myrtaceae.
CUCUCUCAGGUCCAUUGACCGUCGCUUAAGCAUGAUGACGGGGUCAUUGAACCACUUCUAACCGCGAGGGUCUUUGGAUCCUCAAUGGUGGCUAGGCGAAAGAGGCCAACCACUGCUAACCUGCGUUUUCAGAUCGAUAAAGAGAGGAAGGGAGGUGAGAGGAAGGUCGAACAUGGAUGGGUUUUUGAAGUGGACGCAGGCUCUUGCAUCAGCAUGGGGAGUCAUACUGAUUCUCGGUCUCAUCGGGUGUUGCCUCAGCACCAUCCCUCACCACCACGACGACAAAACCAGCGGUUGUGCUGGCUGCACUAGUGAUAUCGGUGUAUGAUGUGUGCUCAUUCUUCUUCUUCUUCUUGAAUUGUGAACACUGAACAUACCGAGACCAUGCAGACAUCCGUUGGUUAAAGGCCAUGAAAACACUUCCUUUUUGACCGUGUUAACAGAUGAAGGUUGUACAGUUGGUAGUCUUCAUCGUUUCUGUUUGAUUCUCAAUCUUAUAUUGUAUAUGGAUCUUGUAAAUGAGCCUUGAUAUGCCUAGGUCAUGCUAUAAGUGUAUACAAAUUAAUUUGUGGUGCAUACUGUUCAUUCUUCGUAGAAAUGCAACCUCAAGAUGUCUGUCUA